This 254-nucleotide ribosomal RNA is filed under the name uncultured bacterium. Its description in RNAcentral is "partial 16S ribosomal RNA". It matches the Rfam family "Bacterial small subunit ribosomal RNA", at positions 79 to 334 of the family's 1533-position model. The record is from RNAcentral.
CUUUCUUUGCUGGCGACCGGCGCACGGGUGAGUAACACGUAUCCAACCUGCCGAUAACUCGGGGAUAGCCUUUCGAAAGAAAGAUUAAUACCCGAUGGUAUAAUAAAGCCGCAUGGUUUAAUUAUUAAAGAAUUUCGGUUAUCGAUGGGGAUGCGUUCCAUUAGGCAGUUGGUGAGGUAACGGCUCACCAAACCUUCGAUGGAUAGGGGUUCUGAGAGGAAGGUCCCCCACAUUGGAACUGAGACACGGUCCAA